Molecule: ribosomal RNA, 488 nt
Filed under: uncultured bacterium
Lineage: Bacteria
Description: bacterial SSU rRNA
Rfam family: Bacterial small subunit ribosomal RNA
Source: RNAcentral
GAGACACGCUGGCGGGCGUGGAUUAGGCAUGCAAGUCGAACGGUAUCAUCCUUUCGGGGGUGAGAGAGUGGCGAACUGGUGAAGUAACACGUAGGUUAUCUACCCUCAAGACGGGACAACCCAGGGAAACUUGGGCUAAUACCGGAUGUGAGCAACUUUUAGUUGUUUGAAAGGUGGCGUAAGCUGUCGCUUGGGGAUGAGCCUGCGUCCUAUUAGUUAGUUGGUGAGGUAACGGCUCACCUAGGCAAUGAUAGGUAGGCGGCCUUAACGGGUGGUCGCCCACACUGGGAUUGAGAUACGGCCCAGACUCCUACGGGAGGCAGCAGUCGAGAAUAGUCUACAAUGGUCGGAAGACUGAUAGUGCGACGCCGCGUGAACGAUGAAUCCCUUCGGGGUGUAAAGUUCUUUUAUAUGUGAGCAGUGCUUCUUAUAUUAACAGUAUGGGGAGAGAGAUAUUAGCAUAUGAAUAAGCAACGGCUAACUCCGUG